AGUGAACGCUGGCGGUAGGCCUAACACAUGCGAGUCGAACGGCAGCACAGUAAGAGCUUGCUCUUACGGGUGGCGAGUGGCGGACGGGUGAGGAAUACAUCGGAAUCUACUUUUUCGUGGGGGAUAACGUAGGGAAACUUACGCUAAUACCGCAUACGACCUACGGGUGAAAGUAGGGGAUCUUCGGACCUUGCGCGUUUGAAUGAGCCGAUGUCGGAUUAGCUAGGUGGCGGGGUAACGGCCCACCAAGGCGACGAUCCGUAGCUGGUCUGAGAGGAUGAUCAGCCACACUGGAACUGAGACACGGUCCAGACUCCUACGGGAGGCAGCAGUAGGGAAUAUUGGACAAUGGGCGCAAGCCUGAUCCAGCCAUACCGCGUGAGUGAAGAAGGCCUUCGGGUUGUAAAGCCCUUUUGUUGGGAAAGAAAAGCAGCAGAUUAAUACCCCGCUGUUCUGACGGUACCCAAAGAAUAAGCACCGGCUAACUUCGUG
This 492-nucleotide ribosomal RNA is filed under the name uncultured bacterium. RNAcentral's name for it is "partial 16S ribosomal RNA". It matches the Rfam family "Bacterial small subunit ribosomal RNA", at positions 29 to 507 of the family's 1533-position model. The record is from RNAcentral.